AACGGUCUAUACCUGCGGUACCUGCGGAGGGAUCAUUACCAAUUUACAGCGGACUUCGGUCCUGUCUGCACCCUUGUCUUUUGCGUACUAUAUGUUUCCUCGGUGGGCUUGCCUGCCGAUAGGACACUUAUAAACUCUUUUGUAAUUGCAAUCAGCGUCAGAAAACUAUAAUAGUUACAACUUUUAGCAACGGAUCUCU
This 199-nucleotide unclassified non-coding RNA is filed under the name soil metagenome. RNAcentral describes it as "partial contains 5.8S ribosomal RNA, internal transcribed spacer 2, and large subunit ribosomal RNA". The record is from RNAcentral.